GAAAGGUUCCAUGUGAACAGCAGUUGGACAUGGGUUAGUCGAUCCUAAGAGAUGGGGAAACCCUGUUUCAAGGGCGCACUUUGCGCGAUCAUCGAAAGGGAAUCGGGUUAAUAUUCCCGAACCGGGACGUGGCGGCGGACGGCAACGUUAGGAAAUCUGGAGACGUCGGCGGGGGCCCCGGGAAGAGUUAUCUUUUCUUUUUAACAGCCU
This 210-nucleotide ribosomal RNA is filed under the name Heterosigma akashiwo. Its description in RNAcentral is "partial Eukaryotic large subunit ribosomal RNA". It matches the Rfam family "Eukaryotic large subunit ribosomal RNA", at positions 1501 to 1712 of the family's 3401-position model. Lineage: Eukaryota; Raphidophyceae; Chattonellales; Chattonellaceae. The record is from RNAcentral.